UCAAUCAAACUUCCUGCGAAGGGUCAAUUGUGCCAAUUUUUUUUCCACAUGCAAAGAAAGAAUUGUGCCAGAUUCAAAUAAGUUUUUUUAUUUUCUUUUUUUUUUAAAUUAUGUUUUGGCCUUUUCCUAACCUUCCAAAGUUUUUGUACGGUGUCAGAAGACUUGUAUAUAGACCACAGAAAGUAGUAUGCACCCUUUUUGGAGUUUGAAUUGGGAGAAGAAAUUACAUUGUAUGUAAAAAAAAUUAUUUCAAUUGACAAACAUGCCAGUGUUAUUACCUAUAUAAUCCAGCUUUGUAAAAUAAUCCAAUUCCCUGAUUUUGCUCUUAGAAAGAAAAUAUACUCAUCAGAUCAUGAGCCUCAUGAUACCCCCCACAAAAAAAAGAAAAUUAAUAGAGAGAAAGCUCCACCUACACCAAAAGUCCCGCCUGCACCAAAAGUCCCACCCGCACCAAAAGUUCCAACACCCCUAAAACACGUCAAGACAAAAGGUCCUGUUGUACGACCUCUGCUUACAUCAAGCAAAGCAGUGAACUCUUUCAGCAAUUCAUUUGUUAAUCACCACCAAAGGGCCGUGGAAAAGCCACAGCAGGCCCGUAUUGAGACUUUCCCCAGCUGUCAAGGUAACGGGCUCUACAUGAGUACUGUAAACACAAUGUAAAAGUUGUAAAUUCACAGCAUUUAUGACAACUCAAAAGGCUGACUCCAUAACAGGGUGGGUCAAGUUUCUGAUCGCUGAAUAGACAUCGCUGACAUGCAGUUUGUGCACAAUUAUUAUGCAAGUUGAUAUUCUGAUCAUAUUUUUAUUCCAAGUACAU
Long non-coding RNA from Sinocyclocheilus anshuiensis, 817 nucleotides. RefSeq lists it as uncharacterized. Lineage: Eukaryota; Metazoa; Chordata; Actinopteri; Cypriniformes; Cyprinidae. The record is from RefSeq and is a predicted model, not a curated record. The transcript has 3 exons.